RNAcentral lists this transfer RNA (75 nucleotides) under Streptococcus equi subsp. zooepidemicus MGCS10565. RNAcentral's name for it is "tRNA-Arg". It matches the Rfam family "tRNA". Rfam says of the family: Transfer RNA (tRNA) molecules are approximately 80 nucleotides in length. Their secondary structure includes four short double-helical elements and three loops (D, anti-codon, and T loops). The record is from RNAcentral. Lineage: Bacteria; Bacillati; Bacillota; Bacilli; Lactobacillales; Streptococcaceae.
GUCCUGCUAGUUUAACGGAUAAAACAAGCGCCUCCUAAGCGCUAGCUGUGGGUUCGAUUCCCGCGCGGGACAUAA